CCUACGGGUGGCAGCAGUGAGGAAUAUUGGUCAAUGGGCUUACGCCUGAACCAGCCAAGUCGCGUGAGGGAAGACUGCCCUAUGGGUUGUAAACCUCUUUUGUCAGGGAGCAAUUGGCGCUACGUGUAGCGUUAUCGAGAGUACCUGAAGAAAAAGCAUCGGCUAACUCCGUACCAGCAGCCGCGGUAAUACGGAGGAUGCGAGCGUUAUCCGGAGUUAUUGGGUUUACAGGUUGCGUAGGCGGAAUGCCAAGUCAGCGGUAAAAUCGCGGGGCUCAACCUCGCUCCGCCGGUGAAACUGGCGGUCUUGAGUGGGCGAGAAGUAUGCGGAAUGCGUGGUGUAGCGGUGGAAUGCAUAGAUAUCACGCAGAACUCCGAUUGCGAAGGCAGCAUACCGGCGCCCAACUGACGCUGAAGCACGAAAGCGUGGGUAUCGAACAGGAGUAGAUACCCGAGUAGUC
This 460-nucleotide ribosomal RNA is filed under the name uncultured bacterium. RNAcentral's name for it is "partial 16S ribosomal RNA". It matches the Rfam family "Bacterial small subunit ribosomal RNA", at positions 338 to 795 of the family's 1533-position model. The record is from RNAcentral.